This 406-nucleotide long non-coding RNA is filed under the name Setaria viridis. Its description in RNAcentral is "long non-coding RNA (SVIR_LNC010478)". The record is from RNAcentral. Lineage: Eukaryota; Viridiplantae; Streptophyta; Magnoliopsida; Poales; Poaceae.
AAACAGAGCCACAAACCAUUCAGUUUCAACAACAUAGCAUUAGUUGUAGCCCAGACAACAGAUACAUGCCUGAAGCUUUUUCAGCACACCAAGCUUCUACAUAUACUCCUAAGCAUCUGACUAAAAGUAUCCCUUGCACACCAUGCCAUUGCAAUAAGACAAUUAUACAGUUGAAUGCUCAUCAAAAGAGAUCGACCCUGUAACUGUGAUCCAUCUUGAUCAAACUUAAACGAAUCCUUUUAUAUCUAAUUUCAUGUACCCAAAGCUGUGAGGAAAAGCACUAAUAGUGCACAAAUAAAUAGACACCCUGAGAUGUUCCACAUAGGAAAGGUGUAUAAAAACAACAAAAUAUUAACCAACUGCACAUAAUUGAAUCUAACUGAUCAUCAUCUCUGGUAUAUGCCCC